RNAcentral lists this ribosomal RNA (497 nucleotides) under uncultured bacterium. Its description in RNAcentral is "partial 16S ribosomal RNA". It matches the Rfam family "Bacterial small subunit ribosomal RNA", at positions 28 to 507 of the family's 1533-position model. The record is from RNAcentral.
GACGAACGCUGGCGGCGUGCCUAAUACAUGCAAGUUGAACGCUGAAGGCUGGUACUUGUACCAACUGGAUGAGCAGCGAACGGGUGAGUAACGCGUGGGGAAUCUGCCUUAGAGCGGGGUACAACAUUUGGAAACGAAUGCUAAUACCGCAUAAAAACUUUAAACACAAGUUUUAAGUUUGAAAGUUGCAAUUGCAUCACUCAAAGAUGAUCCCGCGUUGUAUUAGCUAGUUGGUGAGGUAAAGGCUCACCAAGGCGAGGAUACAUAGCCGACCUGAGAGGGGGAGCGGCAUAGCUGGGCUGGGGACACGGCCCGAAAUCCUGGGGGUGGGAGCCGGCGGGGAUCUUCAGGAAUGGAAGAAGGUCUGAACGAGCGACGCCGCGUGAGUGAAGAAGGUUGUCGGGUCGUGUAACUCAGUUGGUAGAGAGGAACGUUGGUGAGAGUGGAAAGAUCAGCAAGUGACGGUAACUACACAGAAAGGGACGGCUAACUACGUG